GACUCUUUAGCUUAGUUGGUUAAAGCACUGGACUGAAAAUCCAGAUAGUCCGUUCAAUUCGGAGGGAGUCACCA
This 74-nucleotide transfer RNA is filed under the name Caudoviricetes sp. RNAcentral describes it as "tRNA-Phe". It matches the Rfam family "tRNA". Rfam says of the family: Transfer RNA (tRNA) molecules are approximately 80 nucleotides in length. Their secondary structure includes four short double-helical elements and three loops (D, anti-codon, and T loops). The record is from RNAcentral. Lineage: Duplodnaviria; Heunggongvirae; Uroviricota; Caudoviricetes.